CCGUAAAACACUGGCACACCACAUAGGGCACUUGUGGUGGGCAGCAGAUGAAAACAAUUUCAGUCGUUGGAAUAGAGCUGUGCCCCCCUGGAAAACGGUUCAUGAUUACGAUGGUGGCGAGCUUCGUGGCCAUGGCGGGCCAGUUCCUCAUGCCCGGGCUAGCCGCCCUGUGCCGGGACUGGCAGGUGCUGCAGGCCCUCAUCAUCUGCCCCUUCCUGCUCAUGCUGCUCUACUGGUCGUGAGUACCCUCUGCACAGCGCCCUGGGCUGGUGCGACUGCACAUGCUUCCUGAAGGCCCAGCCCCGGGCAGGACACACGAUCCCCACACUUCCCACUAGUUGCAGCUUGUGGUUCUGUCUGAGAAGGUUUUCCUUUUUAAAAAAUUUUAUUGUUUAAACUUUCUGUCUUGGAAAACUGCUCAAAUAUACACAAAAAUAGAAGAGUGGAAUGAGCCCAUCACCCAGCUCCAAAAAUCUGCAAAUCCACUGGCCAGUCUGGCUCACCCCUUCUUGCUACCCACCCCACGGGGUUAUUCUGACAUGAAUUUUUAUGAAUGGAUUGCAGGGAGGUGGAGGGGGGAGUUUGGAGAUAUUAAAGGAGUGAUUUACAAAAGUCCCCCUAUCUCUUCUAGGCGAGGGGUGGGCAACCUUCAGCCUGUGGGCCACAUCAGGCCCACUGUCUGUUUUUGUAAAUAAAGUUUUAUUCGAACACA
Molecule: small RNA, 712 nt
Filed under: Pan troglodytes (chimpanzee)
Lineage: Eukaryota; Metazoa; Chordata; Mammalia; Primates; Hominidae
Description: processed transcript
Source: RNAcentral